AGCCAAGCUCUGCCUUGCGUGCCAACGGGCAUCAGAUGACUGCCUGGAAACCCUGAGACGGAGGCGGCGCAAGCAACAGGAAGCUGAUCUGAGCGACUCGGCUCAGAAAGGUCUUCCUCGGCAGGCCAUGCAGCCUGGCGGGAAAUGGACAAUCAAUACGGAGGACAGUCAUUCCCAGUCUCCGAGAGACACCAGGACCUGCCCCUGCGCGGAAGCCACAGCGGCCUGAGUCAUAAAAAGACCUCCUUGGCCAGAACGGUCACAAUAUGGCUCCUGCAGCUCCAGACAUCGCGUCAGUGUUCAAGGGAAGAACAGAGGAGAAGGAAGCCACCAGCCUUCUUUUUCUCAGUUCUCAGGAAAGCAAGCAUUUUCCCUAAAUCUCCC
Long non-coding RNA from Lepus europaeus (European hare), 384 nucleotides. RefSeq lists it as uncharacterized. NCBI's taxonomy places the organism in Eukaryota, Metazoa, Chordata, Mammalia, Lagomorpha, Leporidae. The record is from RefSeq and is a predicted model, not a curated record. The transcript has 3 exons.